RNAcentral lists this ribosomal RNA (520 nucleotides) under uncultured Glomus. RNAcentral's name for it is "SSU rRNA". It matches the Rfam family "Eukaryotic small subunit ribosomal RNA", at positions 569 to 1091 of the family's 1831-position model. The record is from RNAcentral. Lineage: Eukaryota; Fungi; Glomeromycota; Glomeromycetes; Glomerales; Glomeraceae.
AGCAGCCGCGGUAAUUCCAGCUCCAAUAGCGUAUAUUAAAGUUGUUGCAGUUAAAAAGCUCGUAGUUGAAUUUCGGGGUUAGUAGGUUGGUCAUGUCUCUGGUAUGUACUGGUCUCACUGAUUCCUCCUUCCUGAUGAGCCGUAAUGCCAUUAAUUUGGUGUUGCGGGGAAUUUGGACUGUUACUUUGAAAAAAUUAGAGUGUUUAAAGCAAGCUAACGCUUGAAUACAUUAGCAUGGAAUAAUGAAAUAGGACGUUCGAUCCUAUUUUGUUGGUUUCUAGGAUUGACGUAAUGAUUAAUAGGGAUAGUUGGGGGCAUUAGUAUUCAAUUGUCAGAGGUGAAAUUCUUGGAUUUAUUGAAGACUAACUACUGCGAAAGCAUUUGCCAAGGAUGUUUUCAUUAAUCAAGAACGAAAGUUAGGGGAUCGAAGACGAUCAGAUACCGUCGUAGUCUUAACCAUAAACUAUGCCGACUAGGGAUCGGAUGAUGUUAAUUUUUAAUGACUCAUUCGGCGCCUUAA